Molecule: non-coding RNA, 45 nt
Organism: Nasonia vitripennis (jewel wasp)
Lineage: Eukaryota; Metazoa; Arthropoda; Insecta; Hymenoptera; Pteromalidae
Source: Rfam
CAAUCGGCCCUUUUCAGGGCCAUCAAAUGUUUUUUAUGCGUAGAA